AAAAAAUUUAAUUCGUUGAGUGGUGACGGGGACUAACACCGACGUGGCGUGCAUAAGUUCCGCGUAACGAAUUGAACGACAUUCACGAUUACUAAAAAUUCCUCAAAACCGCAAAAACAGAACCACGCUUCUAAAAGACAAGAUCAAAAGUGUUCCUACAUACGAGCUCAGCUCCAGGGACUCCAUCCCAUGAUUUUCUCAUACAAAGCAAAUAUCCAGGGAUUCAAGACAGUUAGGGAAAUGUUGCUCCACAAAUGGUCCGAGCAGCUGGAGAGGAGCGGACACCAUUCAUCCACCAAUGCGCUGUAAAAACAUAUCCAGCUUCGAAUUCAGCAACAUCAAGUCUUGAUUUGGAGUUUCCUGCAACAGUAGUUUGCAAAACUCAGCACGAAGCAACCACGACCGGUUAUCUUAGUGAAAACAACAAGUGACAGCUGAGGCAGGUACCUGAAAGAUAAUAGAUAGAUAUGCAGCAAAUGUUCAAAUUGCUCAAAACUGACGCCUUUGCCUAGCUUCAGCCACAGACACCCGAAUUUGCCUCCCAUCAAGUUCCUGGAUGCACAGCAUCAGAUUGGUCAGCAACUCAGCAUACAAAUUACACUUCAUAUCUAUCGCGGUAAAUUGAUAUAAUGCAAUGACUUUCAUCAUCAAUGACAUAGCAAGAAAUGCAACAAAUCACUCAUCAAUCCUGACUUGGCAUUUGUUUAUUAGACGCAAGACUAUCUGAGUAAUGCAAUGUACUGAGCAGACGAAUGACAAGACAAAGCUUGAUACUUGAAAUUCAGAUUUUCCAAAAACAAGAUAUGAAAAUGGACAGGGAAACUUACAGCGCCAUUCAACGAGUCAAUGGCGUUGUUCAUCUCGUCAGGUGAGCUGAAAGUGACGAAACCAAAGCCCCUU
Molecule: long non-coding RNA, 900 nt
Filed under: Linum usitatissimum (flax)
Lineage: Eukaryota; Viridiplantae; Streptophyta; Magnoliopsida; Malpighiales; Linaceae
Description: long non-coding RNA (LUSI_LNC007203)
Source: RNAcentral